AUACGGAGGGUGCAAGCGUUAAUCGGAAUUACUGGGCGUAAAGCGUGCGUAGGUGGUUUGUUAAGUUAGUUGUGAAAGCCCCGGGCUCAACCUGGGAACUGCAUUUGAAACUGGCAUACUAGAGUAUAGGAGAGGAAAGUGGAAUUUCAGGUGUAGCGGUGAAAUGCGUAGAUAUCUGAAGGAACAUCAAUGGCGAAGGCAGCUUUCUGGACUAAUACUGACACUGAGGUACGAAAGCGUGGGUAGCAAACAGGAUUAGAUACCCUAGUAGUCC
RNAcentral lists this ribosomal RNA (274 nucleotides) under uncultured bacterium. Its description in RNAcentral is "partial 16S ribosomal RNA". It matches the Rfam family "Bacterial small subunit ribosomal RNA", at positions 523 to 796 of the family's 1533-position model. The record is from RNAcentral.